RNAcentral lists this ribosomal RNA (510 nucleotides) under uncultured Acaulospora. RNAcentral's name for it is "SSU rRNA". It matches the Rfam family "Eukaryotic small subunit ribosomal RNA", at positions 569 to 1078 of the family's 1831-position model. Lineage: Eukaryota; Fungi; Glomeromycota; Glomeromycetes; Diversisporales; Acaulosporaceae. The record is from RNAcentral.
AGCAGCCGCGGUAAUUCCAGCUCCAAUAGCGUAUAUUAAAGUUGUUGCAGUUAAAAAGCUCGUAGUUGAAUUUCGGGAUUUAUCCGUCGGUCGGGCUUUUGGGUCUGUACUGGCGUGAUGGAUUCCUACCUUCUGAAUAACCGGCAUGUCAUUAAUUUGGUGCGCUGGGGAAGCAGGACUGUUACCUUGAAAAAAUUAGAGUGCUUAAAGCAGGCUAUUGCCUGAAUACAUUAGCAUGGAAUAAUGAAAUAGGACGGCAUGGUUCUAUUUUGUUGGUUUCUAGGAUCACCGUAAUGAUUAAUAGGGAUAGUUGGGGGCAUUAGUAUUCAAUUGUCAGAGGUGAAAUUCUUGGAUUUAUUGAAGACUAACUUCUGCGAAAGCAUUUGCCAAGGAUGUUUUCAUUAAUCAAGAACGAAAGUUAGGGGAUCGAAGACGAUCAGAUACCGUCGUAGUCUUAACCAUAAACUAUGCCGACUAGGGAUCGGACGAUGUUAAUUUUUUAAUGACUCG